Molecule: long non-coding RNA, 341 nt
Organism: Bombina bombina (fire-bellied toad)
Lineage: Eukaryota; Metazoa; Chordata; Amphibia; Anura; Bombinatoridae
Exons: 3
Source: RefSeq, a predicted model, not a curated record
CACUGCUCCGGGUGCUCCACUCUUGCUAGGAAUAAAAGGUCACAAGACAUCCGAUAUCCUUUUCAGAUUCUAAUGAGGUCAUAACAGCACAUCAGUGUUAUGCCAUCUAUUGCACAUUUGACUCUAUAAAAAAAUGUCUUAUCGUGUCUGCAAUGGGUAUGUCCGAUUACCCUCACGCUACGACCAUGUUGGAAGCUGCUAUCAACACCAUGUUGAUCCUGGAAGGAGAUCGCCCCAUAGCAGACAUGGAAUUGAGGGUUGUGAGUAUGCUGAAUCAGAGUCACUAGCUGGGCAAUGGAGAGAUUACAACAGGACUGCAGUAAGCCCAAGGCAAACAGAAA